This 460-nucleotide ribosomal RNA is filed under the name uncultured bacterium. RNAcentral's name for it is "partial 16S ribosomal RNA". It matches the Rfam family "Bacterial small subunit ribosomal RNA", at positions 338 to 795 of the family's 1533-position model. The record is from RNAcentral.
CCUACGGGAGGCAGCAGUGAGGAAUAUUGGUCAAUGGGCGAGAGCCUGAACCAGCCAAGUCGCGUGAAGGAUGACGGCCCUACGGGUUGUAAACUUCUUUUGUCAGGGAGCAAUUGGGUCCACGCGUGGGCUUUGCGAGAGUACCUGAAGAAAAAGCAUCGGCUAACUCCGUGCCAGCGGCCGCGGUAAUACGGAGGAUGCGAGCGUUAUCCGGAUUUAUUGGGUUAAAGGGGUGCGUAGGCGGAAUAGAAAGUCAGCGGGAAAAAUUCGGGACUCAAACACGUCGUGCCGUUGAAACUGAUGUUCUUGAGUGGGCGAGAAGUAUGCGGAAUGCGUGGUGUAGCGGUGAAAUGCAUAGAUAUCACGCAGAACUCCGAUUGCGAAGGCAGCAUACCGGCGCCCAACUGACGCUGAAGCACGAAAGCGUGGGGAUCGAACAGGAUUAGAUACCCUUGUAGUC